GAAAUGCGAUAAGUAAUGUGAAUUGCAGAAUUCAGUGAAUCAUCGAAUCUUUGAACGCAUCUUGCGCUCCUUGGUAUUCCGAGGAGCAUGCCUGUUUGAGUGUUAUUCAACUCCUCAACCACAUUCAUUGAUUGUGGCUUGGAUGCUGGGGGUUUGUUUGCAGGCUUCUUCUGUAAAACGGAAAAGGUCGGCUCCCCUGAAAUGUAUCAGUGGUAUCUGAGGCUAUUGCUAUAGGUGUGAUAAUUAUCUAUGCCCUUGGUAUGCUGAAUGAACCGCUUCUAAACCCAGAAAUGAUCUAUUUCUUUUGAUGAAUUUGACCUCAAAUCAGGUAGGACUACCCGCUGAACUUAA
Molecule: unclassified non-coding RNA, 351 nt
Filed under: uncultured Inocybe
Lineage: Eukaryota; Fungi; Basidiomycota; Agaricomycetes; Agaricales; Cortinariaceae
Description: sequence contains ITS1
Rfam family: 5.8S ribosomal RNA (bases 1-105)
Source: RNAcentral